RNAcentral lists this ribosomal RNA (935 nucleotides) under uncultured bacterium. RNAcentral's name for it is "bacterial SSU rRNA". It matches the Rfam family "Bacterial small subunit ribosomal RNA", at positions 8 to 918 of the family's 1533-position model. The record is from RNAcentral.
AGAGUUUGAUCCUGGCUCAGAACGAAUGCUGGCGGCGUGGAUAAGACAUGCAAGUUGAACGGUUGAUUCAGGGUAGCAAUAUUCUGGGUUAGCAGUGGCGUAAGGGUGCUUAACACGUGGGUAAUCUGCCGCGAAGUGUGGGAUAACUCGCUGAAAGGCGAGCUAAUACCGCAUGUGAUCUUCUUGAGGCAUCUCAAGGAAUUCAAACAUGGGUCGCAAGACCUGUGGUUUCGCGAUGAGCCCGCGGCCUAUCAGCUAGUUGGCGGGGUAAAAGCCCACCAAGGCUAAGACAGGUAGCUGGUCUGAGAGGACGACCAGCCACACUGGAACUGAGACACGGUCCAGACACCUACGGGUGGCAGCAGUCGAGAAUUUUUCACAAUGGGGGAAACCCUGAUGGAGCGACGCCGCGUGGGGGAUGAAGGGCUUCGGUUCGUAAACCCCUGUCAUUGGCGAACAAGUGUUGCGCUCUAAUACAGUGUAACUUGAUAGUAGCCGAAGAGGAAGGGACGGCUAACUCUGUGCCAGCAGCCGCGGUAAUACAGAGGUCCCGAGCGUUGUUCGGAUUCACUGGGCGUAAAGGGUGCGUAGGUGGUUGGUUAAGUUUGAGGUGAAAGCUCCGAGCUCAACUCGGAAAAUGCCUUGAAGACUAUCUGACUAGAGGAUUGGAGGGGAGAUUGGAAUUCUCGGUGUAGCAGUGAAAUGCGUAGAUAUCGAGAGGAACACCAGUGGCGAAGGCGAAUCUCUGGACAAUUCCUGACACUGAGGCACGAAAGCCAAGGGAGCAAACGGGAUUAGAUACCCCGGUAGUCUUGGCUGUAAACGGUGCGCACUUGCUGUGAGCGGAUUCGACCCCGCUCGUGGCGUAGUUAACACGAUAAGUGCGCCGCCUGGGAAGUACGGUCGCAAGAUUAAAACUCAAGAAAUUGACGGGG